This 192-nucleotide small RNA is filed under the name Staphylococcus aureus. RNAcentral describes it as "Transcript". The record is from RNAcentral. Lineage: Bacteria; Bacillati; Bacillota; Bacilli; Caryophanales; Staphylococcaceae.
GAUCAUAACAUCGCGUUUCUCUUUGCCUGUUUCAAGUCUAACAGCCUUUAUCUCAUUAAGAUCAAAAUUUUGUGGAUUUCCAGGUGGCGUUAAUAAAUCGCCAAGUUGAUUACGCCAUAAAUCAUUAGCCUUCUCCGUUUUAGUACGAUGUAUAUUCAAGUCAUUAGAAAAGAAACAAACUAACGGACGUUU